Molecule: non-coding RNA, 398 nt
Organism: Malus domestica (apple)
Lineage: Eukaryota; Viridiplantae; Streptophyta; Magnoliopsida; Rosales; Rosaceae
Source: RefSeq, a predicted model, not a curated record
UUUGAGUUUUAUUUUUUCAUAUUUCUCUGUUGUAAUUUCAAUAGUAAGCUAUAAUUUUUUUUGUUAUCGCUGAUAGGUUUACACUACGUCACCAGUUGAUUUGUUGUUAGACUUGCUUUCAUCCAAGUAUUUCAAGUAUAUUGAUGUCCGUUAUUUUACCUACAUUAGCUUGGAAAAGCUUUCCAAAGUUCUGGAUGCAAAUGGGAUUUCUGAGGAUAAAAACAUCAAGACAGACGGUAAAGAUGUGGAGCAUCCUAGGGAAAGCAUGGAUCAAUUAAUUCACAAGAUUCAUUAUUUGAUAUCACACAUCCCCUCUCUGGAAAGCUCAGUUGAUAAAACUGAUCAUGAGAUGUGGAGUGGAUCGGGUGAAUAUGAAGACCUUUCUGGGAAUCUGAAAG